This 440-nucleotide ribosomal RNA is filed under the name uncultured bacterium. RNAcentral describes it as "partial 16S ribosomal RNA". It matches the Rfam family "Bacterial small subunit ribosomal RNA", at positions 338 to 795 of the family's 1533-position model. The record is from RNAcentral.
CCUACGGGAGGCAGCAGUGGGGGAUAUUGCACAAUGGGGGAAACCCUGAUGCAGCGACGCCGCGUGAGUGAAGAAGUAUUUCGGUAUGGAAAGCUCUAUCAGCAGGGAAGAAAAUGACAGUACCUGUGUAAGAAGCCCCGGCUAACUACGUGCCAGCAGCCGCGGUAAUACGUAGGGGGCAAGCGUUAUCCGGAUUUACUGGGUGUAAAGGGAGCGUAGACGGCAGCACAAGUCUGGAGUGAAAUGCCGGGGCUUAACCCCGGAACUGCUUUGGAAACUGUGCAGCUAGAGUGCAGGAGAGGUAAGUGGAAUUCCUAGGGUAGCGGUGAAAUGCGUAGAUAUUAGGAGGAACACCAGUGGCGAAGGCGGCUUACUGGACUGUAACUGACGUUGAGGCUCGAAAGCGUGGGGAGCAAACAGGAUUAGAUACCCCUGUAGUC